Molecule: RNA transcript, 1102 nt
Organism: Juglans regia (Persian walnut)
Lineage: Eukaryota; Viridiplantae; Streptophyta; Magnoliopsida; Fagales; Juglandaceae
Exons: 6
Source: RefSeq, a predicted model, not a curated record
CAAAGCCACACGAACAAUCGCAACGCACGUCAGACAUCCCGAGCUACCAACUCUUCGACUCGUUUCUCCCCUCUGCAGACUCUCCGCUGAAAACUCGAACUCCCAAUUCUAAUGACAGAUAAUGGUAGAAAUGACGAUGACACAACAACAUCGGUUGAUACCUCUGUUGAAAAGCUUCCCAAUCAUCUCCUGAUAGAAGUUUUCAUUCGCGUUCCUGUCUCAGAUUGGGUACAAGUAUCUUGUGUGAAAAAGGAGUGGGCCAAUCUGUUUCGUGGAGAAUGCUUGUGGCAAGCUGCUCUAGUCAAGCUUUACCCUUUGGCUGGCCAAACUAAAAAGUGGCCUGGACCUAUCCCUCGAGGGCCAAGCAGAAGGAGAUUCACAGCUCUAUACAUUAGUAAACACAUGUUUGCUCUGGAUGGUGAGAUAGACGAACUUGUGGGCCACAUUUAUUUGUUUUUGAAAGAGCAACUUGAGCUUUCCACUAUGCCACCUCCUUCAGGGAUACUUCAUGGAACAAUGAUAGAUCAAUUUAUUGCUUGUGGCAAAUCAAGUGACAUGGCCCAUGAGCUAGCUUCACAGAUCUGGCUGGCCGUUGUUGACGGUUUGGAGGAAAAUGAACACACGUUUUGCUUGCUUAAAAAUCUUGCACAGGAGGGCGAUGUUUUUCUUCCAUACCCAUACUCUAGAUCAAGCAAAGUCCAAUGGAGGGUGUUUGAAAAGCUGUUCACCGAUUUCCGUGACUGCUUUAGUCGUGUAGAUUACUAUGAUGUAUUGGCAUGCGCCAAGAACAAGUUUCAGCCGAUACCAUCAGCUUGGUUAGGUUACUAGCCCCACCUGAGAUGCAUAUCCCGGACCACAUCAAGUGUUUGUACAUAGGAAUAUAGUAUGGGGGGGCCAACAGAGUCAAAACCAUCAGAGCUACUUACCCGAUUCAACGUGAAUUUAGUAUUUACAUUUAAUAUUGCAUAAAGUUGAUUACUUUUUUUUUCUUCUUCUCUUUACUUAGAUCCGGAGUUAACAUUAUUUUAUCAUGUCUGCAAGAUUUGAUGAGAUUACUUUAUUGUCUGCAAAUAAGAAAGGACAGUGACUUGUUUAAGCUUAA